GGCAGUUCUUGGGUGAUGCACCCUGGAAUCGGGCUCCCUCCUCUCUGGUUGCGGGUGUGUCACCGAGAACUGCA
Molecule: non-coding RNA, 74 nt
Organism: Myotis davidii
Lineage: Eukaryota; Metazoa; Chordata; Mammalia; Chiroptera; Vespertilionidae
Source: Rfam